This 433-nucleotide ribosomal RNA is filed under the name uncultured bacterium. Its description in RNAcentral is "partial 16S ribosomal RNA". It matches the Rfam family "Bacterial small subunit ribosomal RNA", at positions 29 to 507 of the family's 1533-position model. The record is from RNAcentral.
AACGAACGCUGGCGGCAUGCCUAACACAUGCAAGUCGAACGAGACCUUCGGGUCUAGUGGCGCACGGGUGCGUAACGCGUGGGAACCUGCCCUUAGGUUCGGAAUAACUCCCCGAAAGGGGUGCUAAUACCGGAUAAUGUCUUCGGACCAAAGAUUUAUCGCCUUUGGAUGGGCCCGCGUUGGAUUAGCUAGUUGGUAGGGUAAAAGCCUACCAAGGCGACGAUCCAUAGCUGGUCUGAGAGGAUGAUCAGCCACACUGGGACUGAGACACGGCCCAGACUCCUACGGGAGGCAGGAGUGGGGAAUAUUGGACAAUGGGCGGAGGGCUGAACGCGCAAUGCCGGGUGAGUGAUGAAGGCGUUAGAGUAGUAAAGCUCUUUUACCCGGGAUGAUAAUGACAGUACCGGGAGAAUAAGCACCGGCUAACUCCGUG